Molecule: non-coding RNA, 45 nt
Filed under: Schistosoma mansoni
Lineage: Eukaryota; Metazoa; Platyhelminthes; Trematoda; Strigeidida; Schistosomatidae
Source: RNAcentral
AUCCAGCUGACGAACCCUAAAUAGGACGAAACAAAUGUCCUAGAU